AGUGAACGCUGGCGGUAGGCCUAACACAUGCAAGUCGAACGGCAGCACAGUAAGAGCUUGCUCUUACGGGUGGCGAGUGGCGGACGGGUGAGGAAUACAUCGGAAUCUACUUUUUCGUGGGGGAUAACGUAGGGAAACUUACGCUAAUACCGCAUACGACCUACGGGUGAAAGCAUGGGAUCUUCGGACCUUGCGCGAUUGAAUGAGCCGAUGUCGGAUUAGCUAGUUGGCGGGGUAAAGGCCCACCAAGGCGACGAUCCGUAGCUGGUCUGAGAGGAUGAUCAGCCACACUGGAACUGGGACAGGGUCCAGACUCCUACGGGAGGCAGCAGUGGGGAAUAUUGGACAAUGGGCGCAAGCCUGAUCCAGCCAUACCGCGUGGGUGAAGAAGGCCUUCGGGUUGUAAAGCCCUUUUGUUGGGAAAGAAAAGCAGUAGGUUAAUACCCCGCUGUUCUGACGGUACCCAAAGAAUAAGCACCGGCUAACUUCGUG
Molecule: ribosomal RNA, 492 nt
Filed under: uncultured bacterium
Lineage: Bacteria
Description: partial 16S ribosomal RNA
Rfam family: Bacterial small subunit ribosomal RNA
Source: RNAcentral